AUGUGCUUAUUAUCUUGUUUGGGUUACAGAUACGCAGUAGGAAAGCAAGGACCAAUUACGCUUGAUCUGAAGUCAUCAGCUUUUGACCCAAAGGAGAAAGUAUGGACAAGGUUCCCACCAGAAGGCUCAAAAUAUACCCCUCCACAGAGUUCUUGUGAUUUCAGAUGGAAAGAUUACUGCCUCCAAGUAUUCUGGUUGGUCAUCACCUCAGUGUCUAGAUUAAGGUUUAUCUAUCAUCAGUUACAAUUCACAUGCAUUUUUUCUCAUGAAAUGAAUUACAAGACAUUGCGCAAGUUGUUCAAGGUUGAUGCAGCAGAUUGUAUGCUAUCCCUUUGUGGGGACCAGGCUCUCCGAGGGCUCUCAUCCCCUGGUAAGAGUGGAAGCUUCUUUUAUCUCACGAGCAAUUAUCAUUACAUGAGAAAGACGAUGAAGAAAUAG
This 438-nucleotide ribosomal RNA is filed under the name Triticum aestivum (bread wheat). RNAcentral describes it as "partial small subunit ribosomal RNA". The record is from RNAcentral. Lineage: Eukaryota; Viridiplantae; Streptophyta; Magnoliopsida; Poales; Poaceae.